Non-coding RNA from Triticum urartu, 225 nucleotides. Lineage: Eukaryota; Viridiplantae; Streptophyta; Magnoliopsida; Poales; Poaceae. The record is from RefSeq and is a predicted model, not a curated record.
AACCAAAAUAAAGAAAGACCACCCCUAAUGCUAGAUCCCCGAUCGCCCCAACUGGGCUCCACUACUAAUCAAAAGGAAACGAAACACAACAACGAAAAGGUCUUCAUCGAGCUCCCACUUGAGCUGGGUUGUGUCAUCUGCACUGGUAUCAUCGGCACCUGCAAACUGAAAUCCCGCAAGGAAGAAGAACGAGUCCAUGAAGAAGACAAACGGACGUAGUCGAAC